GAAACCUUUAGUCUUGUUGUCAAAAUUUCUAAACCCUUGUGUGCACCUGUCCAAUGUUACUCUCUUUUCACGACUUCUGUGAAUUAAGUAGAACUGUAAUUGGGUCCUUGUUUUAAAAUUUAAACAAAUAUGAAAAAUGUGUGUCUUGUACUCUUGUACGUUGUACCACAUGGUGUCCCUGGACUAGUUUUAGUCUUAGUUCCUCUCUACGUUAUUGUAGAAAGUCAUAGUUGAAUGUUCAUUGCUGCACAUGUUUUCUUUCGACCCCGUUAUUUUUGUUCUGCCCACAGACCCACUUUCCGCUUUGAGGUGCUUUUUUUUUGUUUACCCAUUCUGUUUCAUUCUAUUUUUGGCUAACCACUUUUACCAUCCUACCCUCUUAUCCCACAAUAUUUACACCAUUCCACUUACUCUCUCUUACUUUAUCAAUCCUUUUCUUACAUACAUGAUACACCCACCUUCUUAAUCCAUCUCUCUUACUCUAUCCAUCUUUUCUUACACGCACUCACCUUUUUCAAAGUUACCUAGAAUCAAGAGUCUACAGUAAGUGGGAAAAAAAACCUGGUGGGAGUAUGUUAUUUCCAAGCUUGUGCCCCUGAGUGCAACAUUGAUGUUGAAGUCCUCCUUUUGAAUUGUAGGCUCGUUGUUGCCUUUGCAUCUACGUGCGGGAGGGGUAAAGAGAGGAGAUUGCUUUGGCUAUCAUGUGAGUCUUGUGGUUAAAAAAGAAUGAUGAGCUUUAUUGGAAAAAAAAAUCUGCUGAUCAUUAGUCUUCUGGGAUGGAGCUGUCUCCUUUAUGUCAGGGGUUGUCUAUCAGACUACCAGUGAUA
Long non-coding RNA from Spinacia oleracea (spinach), 827 nucleotides. RefSeq lists it as uncharacterized. NCBI's taxonomy places the organism in Eukaryota, Viridiplantae, Streptophyta, Magnoliopsida, Caryophyllales, Amaranthaceae. The record is from RefSeq and is a predicted model, not a curated record. The transcript is spliced from 2 exons.